This 265-nucleotide ribosomal RNA is filed under the name uncultured archaeon. RNAcentral's name for it is "partial 16S ribosomal RNA". It matches the Rfam family "Archaeal small subunit ribosomal RNA", at positions 719 to 982 of the family's 1478-position model. The record is from RNAcentral.
ACACGACUACAUUAGAUACCCGUGUAGUCCUAGCCGUAAACGAUACUCGCUAGGUGUCGGCCACGGUGCGACCGUUGUCGGUGCCGUAGGGAAGCCGUGAAGCGAGCCACCUGGGAAGUACGGCCGCAAGGCUGAAACUUAAAGGAAUUGGCGGGGGAGCACCACAACGGGUGGAGCUUGCGGUUUAAUUGGAUUCAACGCCGGAAAUCUUACCGGGACCGACAGCAACAUGAAGGCCAGGCUGAAGACUUCGCCGGAUUAGCUG